CAGUGGGCGUGGCUUCGCCGGGGAGGGGCGGGGGCGGGGCGGGGCCCGGUUCGCCCGGUGGGCGGGACUUUGCCCGCGGUGGGGCGGGGCCGGGCGAUGGGCGGGGCCAAGCGGAGCCGGAGUCCCGCCCCGCUGCGCGCGGGAGCCGCCCCGGGCCCGAUCCUGAUCCUGUUCCUGAUCCUGAUCCCUAUCCUAGUCCUGGUCCUCAUCCUGCUGCCCACCAGCUCCCUCACCGGAUCCCAGUAAAGCCCCCCGGCCCCUGGGUUGCUGGAACAGCGGCAGGAGGGCAGCGGGACCCUCCAGCUGAGCAGGGGGACCCCCAAAGGAGCCUUUGCACCACGGGGAGCAGUUUAUUGACCGUUUAUAGUCGAGGAAGCAACGUAUCAAAAGGAGUCUGCAAAGUCUUCGCAGGUUCUAUUACCAGUCAGAGGGUUUAAUGGAUAACGAGAUAGAUAAUGAGAUUAAUAAGGUGCUGUGUGAUGCUCACCUGCCACGGGCUGCAAGGAAAUUUGGAUCCAGCGUUGGAAACUAUAAAUGAGAAGAUUCUGACUUCUAAGAACCAGCAGCACACUGACACCUCAUUCCCCUGCGCAGCCAAGCCCCUGCUCUGCUCUGAAGGAAGAUGGAGGCCUGGUGGCUCCGCCAGCUCCCCUGUCCCAUCACAGAACAGGCGGGAGGAGGUUGGGCUGGGGAGGCUGAGCUCAGCCUAAACACAGCUUCUUCUAGAGGGGGUAACCAAGAUGUUGCCGUUGGUUCUGUUGUAUGUUUAUUUAUAUGUUAUUUGGUGCUAAUGAAAACCAAAUGUUCGGAAUCUAUUCAGUUCUUUAACUUU
Pseudopipra pipra is the source of this 832-nucleotide long non-coding RNA. RefSeq lists it as uncharacterized. NCBI's taxonomy places the organism in Eukaryota, Metazoa, Chordata, Aves, Passeriformes, Pipridae. The transcript has 2 exons. The record is from RefSeq and is a predicted model, not a curated record.